RNAcentral lists this transfer RNA (64 nucleotides) under Achelia bituberculata. RNAcentral describes it as "tRNA-Ile". The record is from RNAcentral. Lineage: Eukaryota; Metazoa; Arthropoda; Pycnogonida; Pantopoda; Ammotheidae.
GAUAAAUUGCCUGAUUAAAGGAUUAUUUUGAUAGAAUAAAUUAUACAUUGUUAUGUAUUUAUCA